UAGGGAAUCUUCCACAAUGGGCGAAAGCCUGAUGGAGCAACGCCGCGUGUGUGAUGAAGGGUUUCGGCUCGUAAAACACUGUUGUAAGAGAAGAAUGACAUUGAGAGUAACUGUUCUUGUAUUGACGGUAUCUAACCAGAAAGCCACGGCUAACUACGUGCCAG
This 164-nucleotide ribosomal RNA is filed under the name uncultured bacterium. RNAcentral describes it as "partial 16S rRNA". It matches the Rfam family "Bacterial small subunit ribosomal RNA", at positions 355 to 511 of the family's 1533-position model. The record is from RNAcentral.